This 371-nucleotide ribosomal RNA is filed under the name uncultured organism. RNAcentral's name for it is "partial 16S ribosomal RNA". It matches the Rfam family "Bacterial small subunit ribosomal RNA", at positions 527 to 896 of the family's 1533-position model. The record is from RNAcentral.
GUAGGGUGCAAGCGUUAAUCGGAAUUACUGGGCGUAAAGCGUGCGCAGGCGGUUUUGUAAGUCUGAUGUGAAAUCCCCGGGCUCAACCUGGGAAUUGCAUUGGAGACUGCAAGGCUAGAAUCUGGCAGAGGGGGGUAGAAUUCCACGUGUAGCAGUGAAAUGCGUAGAUAUGUGGAGGAAUACCGAUGGCGAAGGCAGCCCCCUGGGUCAAGAUUGACGCUCAUGCACGAAAGCGUGGGGGGAGCAAACAGGAUUAGAUACCCUGGUAGUCCACGCCCCUAAACGAUGUCUACUAGUUGUCGGGUCUUAAUUGACUUGGUAACGCAGCUAACGCGUGAAGUAGACCGCCUGGGAGUACGGUCGCAAGAUUA